RNAcentral lists this ribosomal RNA (243 nucleotides) under uncultured Actinomycetales bacterium. RNAcentral's name for it is "partial 16S ribosomal RNA". It matches the Rfam family "Bacterial small subunit ribosomal RNA", at positions 88 to 334 of the family's 1533-position model. The record is from RNAcentral. Lineage: Bacteria; Bacillati; Actinomycetota; Actinomycetes; Actinomycetales.
UACUCGAGUGGCGAACGGGUGAGUAACACGUGGGUGGUCUGCCCUGCACUUCGGGAUAAGCUUGGGAAACUGGGUCUAAUACCGGAUAGGAGCCAUCUUUAGUGUGGUGGUUGGAAAGUUUUUUCGGUGCAGGAUGAGCUCGCGGCCUAUCAGCUUGUUGGUGGGGUAAUGGCCUACCAAGGCGGCGACGGGUAGCCGGCCUGAGAGGGUGUACGGCCACAUUGGGACUGAGAUACGGCCCAG